GAUGAACGCUGGCGGCGUGCCUAAUACAUGCAAGUCGAGCGAACAGACGAGGAGCUUGCUCCUCUGACGUUAGCGGCGGACGGGUGAGUAACACGUGGAUAACCUACCUAUAAGACUGGGAUAACUUCGGGAAACCGGAGCUAAUACCGGAUAAUAUAUUGAACCGCAUGGUUCAAUAGUGAAAGACGGUUUUGCUGUCACUUAUAGAUGGAUCCGCGCCGCAUUAGCUAGUUGGUAAGGUAACGGCUUACCAAGGCGACGAUGCGUAGCCGACCUGAGAGGGUGAUCGGCCACACUGGAACUGAGACACGGUCCAGACUCCUACGGGAGGCAGCAGUAGGGAAUCUUCCGCAAUGGGCGAAAGCCUGACGGAGCAACGCCGCGUGAGUGAUGAAGGUCUUCGGAUCGUAAAACUCUGUUAUUAGGGAGAACAAAUGUGUAAGUAACUAUGCACGUCUUGACGGUACCUAAUCAGAAAGCCACGGCUAACUACGUG
This 496-nucleotide ribosomal RNA is filed under the name uncultured bacterium. Its description in RNAcentral is "partial 16S ribosomal RNA". It matches the Rfam family "Bacterial small subunit ribosomal RNA", at positions 28 to 507 of the family's 1533-position model. The record is from RNAcentral.